AGUGAACGCUGGCGGUAGGCCUAACACAUGCCAGUCGAACGGCAGCACAGUAAGAGCUUGCUCUUACGGGUGGCGAGUGACGGACGGGUGAGGAAUACAUCGGAAUCUACUUUUUCGUGGGGGAUAACGUAGGGAAACUUACGCUAAUACCGCAUACGACCUACGGGUGAAAGCAGCGGAUCUUCGUACCUUGCACGAUUGAAUGAGCCGAUGUCGGAUUAGCUAGUUGGCGGGGUAAAGGCCCACCAAGGCGACGAUCCGUAGCUGGACUGAGAGGAUGAUCAGCCCCACUGGAAGUGAGACACGGGCCAGACUCCUACGGUAGGCAGCAGUGGGGAAUAUUGGACAAUGGGCGCAAGCCUGAUCCAACCAUACCGCGUGGGUGAAGAAGGCCUUCCGGUUGUAAAGCCCUUUUGUUGGGAAAGAAAAGCAGCAGGUUAAUACCCCGCUGUUCUGACGGUACCCAAAGAAUAAGCACCGGCUAACUUCGUG
This 492-nucleotide ribosomal RNA is filed under the name uncultured bacterium. RNAcentral describes it as "partial 16S ribosomal RNA". It matches the Rfam family "Bacterial small subunit ribosomal RNA", at positions 29 to 507 of the family's 1533-position model. The record is from RNAcentral.